Molecule: ribosomal RNA, 532 nt
Filed under: uncultured bacterium
Lineage: Bacteria
Description: bacterial SSU rRNA
Rfam family: Archaeal small subunit ribosomal RNA
Source: RNAcentral
ACGGAAUAGAUACCCAGGUAGUCCCAGCUGUAAACGAUGCAGGCUAGGUGUUUGGACGGCCACGUGCCGUUCUAGUGCCGCAGGGAAGCUGUUAAGCCUGCCGCCUGGGGAGUACGAUCGCAAGAUUGAAACUUAAAGGAAUUGGCGGGGGAGCACCACAAGGGGUGAAGCUUGCGGUUUAAUUGGAGUCAACGCCGGAAAUCUCACCGGGAGCGACAGCAGUAUGAAAGCCAGAUUAAAGGUCUUGCUAGACGAGCUGAGAGGGGGUGCAUGGCCGUCGCCAGUUCGUGCCGUGAGGUGUCCUGUUAAGUCAGGCAACGAUCGAGACCCGCGUCCUCUGUUGCAACCAGUUUUGUGCUGGGCACACUGAGGAGACCGCCACUGAUAAAGUGGAGGAAGGAGCGGGCCACGGCAGGUCAGUAUGCCCCGAAUCUCCCGGGCCACACGCGAGCUGCAAUGGCAGGUACAAUGGGUUCCGACCUCGAAAGGGGAAGGCAAUCUCGAAAGCCUGCCGUAGUUGGAAUCGAAGGCU